UACAGAGGGGGCAAGCGUUGUUCGGAAUUACUGGGCGUAAAGGGCGCGUAGGCGGCCUUCUAAGUCGAACGUGAAAUCCCUGGGCUCAACCCAGGAACUGCGUCCGAUACUGGGAGGCUUGAAUCCGGGAGAGGGAUGUGGAAUUCCAGGUGUAGCGGUGAAAUGCGUAGAUAUCUGGAGGAACACCGGUGGCGAAGGUGGCAUCCUGGACCGGUAUUGACGCUGAUGCGCGAAAGCCAGGGGAGCAAACGGG
RNAcentral lists this ribosomal RNA (253 nucleotides) under uncultured bacterium. RNAcentral's name for it is "partial 16S ribosomal RNA". It matches the Rfam family "Bacterial small subunit ribosomal RNA", at positions 524 to 776 of the family's 1533-position model. The record is from RNAcentral.